Molecule: long non-coding RNA, 567 nt
Filed under: Bos indicus x Bos taurus (hybrid cattle)
Lineage: Eukaryota; Metazoa; Chordata; Mammalia; Artiodactyla; Bovidae
Description: lncRNA (ENSBIXG00005000044.1)
Source: RNAcentral
AUGGCUGCAGUCACUAUCUGUAGUGAUUUUGGAGUCCAAGAAAAUAGGAACCGACUCUCAUUGCCAGGCCUUAGGUUCAUAUCCUCUUUGAGCCUUUUGGGAUGGUCGUCAGAGUCGGUCCCUCUUUCCCCAGCAGCCUCAUUGCCUUCAUGCAGCCCACACAUGCUUGUUCAGCCUCUGGGUAUGAGGUUUUACACUGAGCCAGGGGACCAGAUGAGGGAAGACAGCAGAAGCCCUGCUUCAUGGAGCUGCCAUCUUCCAGAAGGGCUCUGGGUGGAGCAGACUGCACCCUCGUGCAAACCAGGCGGAGGAACACACUUCACCCUCGUGUUCAUGCACAGAUGCUCCGUGUCUCUGGCCUGCCGUAAAAUCUGUGAAAGUCAUCUUUGUAAAACCACGCCAUUCCUCCGAGGGAAAUCCUUUGACUUUGCAGUGAAUAAGAGUAUGUUGGAGAAAGAUGUCACUGCCUAUGAAACGGGACACGUGGAGUGUUCCAGACUGAUGUUCUGCAUGGGAGGGGAGCCCAGCUGGACUCCAUUGGGAAAGGCUAACCCUUCCGCAGGGUGA